UUCCCCGCCUUUCAAUAAGCUUCACGUGCAGAGCGAAAACCGACCUUGCCCCACCCCAGCAGCAGCCGGGAUCCGCUGGGAUUGAUUGGGAUGGAUGGUGGGGAUCCACUGGGAUCCACUGGGAUCACUGGGAUCGAUGAGAGUGAGUGGGAUGGGUGGUGGGGAUCCACAGGCACCAUUGGGAUCCACUGGGAUGGAGGGUGGGGAUCCACAGGGACCACUGGGAUCCACUGGAAGUGACUGGGAUGGAUGGUGGGGAUCCAUGGGGAUCCACUGGGAGUGACUGGGAUGGUUGGUGGGGAUCCACAGGGACCAUUGGGAUCCACUGGGAGUGACUGGGAUGGAUGGUGGGGAUCCACAGGGAUCCACUGGGAGUGACUGGGAUGGUUGGUGGGGAUCACUGGGAUGGAGGGUGGGGAUCCACGGGGAUCACUGGGAUCCACUGGGACGGAUGAUGGGGAUCCACAGGGAUCCACAGGGAUCAUGGGGAUCCCUGGGACGGAGGGUGGGGAUGUCCCCCACGGUCCCGGGGAGGAGCCGCGUCCUCGUGGCCUCGCUCCGUCACCUGCAACACAGAGAGGCGGCCCAGCUGAGUGCCCGGC
This 602-nucleotide long non-coding RNA is filed under the name Lonchura striata (white-rumped munia). RNAcentral describes it as "domestica (Bengalese finch) lncRNA (ENSLSDG00000003107.1)". Lineage: Eukaryota; Metazoa; Chordata; Aves; Passeriformes; Estrildidae. The record is from RNAcentral.